CAGAGUGUUUCCAUGUGGUCGCCUUUCGGAUGAAGGUCAAGAUGAGCAGAGACCACCAAGCACAUUUCAAGAAGGAUAUUAGAUUUCACUGGAGCCAGGAACUCAGAAAUACACUCUGUGGUCUGUGGGAAUCGCAAGCCCUCCUCAUACACCUCUAAGCACAAGAAGCGCUCGUUCACAAAAAGAGGGAGAGGAUAUUUCUGCUACUGUCUUGCCCUUGUUCUCCAAGGACCUCCUCAUCCCUGUUUUGCCAAACCUCCUGGUUCCCCCUGGUGUGUGAGCUGGUGUUGGGGACGCUCAGGUCCCCACUUCUCAGACUGGUGGAAACCCUCAGAGAGAUCAACAUCUGAAAAUCCAUCUCAAUGAUUUUUCUGGAACUAGGCACCCUGACCUCAGCUGCUUAAUGUUAAUAGACCAAGAAUGCAAACAGCGAAGCACAAAAACAUUCCUGGAAAGAAGAAUGUUCUCCACUUAGUAGGCGGGUGAGUAACAUGAUAAGAGCCUUAAGGCCAGGAGCUAGAUGAUGGUCAUAUCGCUAGGACCCCUGCUUUUGGUCUCCGCAGUUGCGAGCUGCUAACAGCAUCUGGCGUCCAUCAGGCCUGGGUGAGGAAUGCUGGCAGGGCUAUUUGUGGAGCCAGUUCCUGAGAGCACACUUAAGACACCUCAUACAUUUCGAGCUUUCUCCCACCUCUUGGGGUGCGGGGGUGGGGGAUACCGGCUGUGAUUGUGUUUAUGGUGGAGAGGGAUGAAAUGUUUUGGGGAGUCACCAUGCCUUUUCAAUGCUCUGUUCCUCUUUGAGAAUUGCUCUUGCAAGUGUGUCCUUACCUCUAGUCCCUAAGGAUUUUAGAAACUCAAACCAACAGAGGGUGAAAAAUCACAACUUGGGGUCAGACUAGCUAAUUAUCAUUCGGCUUGUUCACCCCUGCAGAGUCAUCAACUUCCCUUAGCAAAUUUGGGGACACUUGGACUUUCCUUCUGCUUGGGUUUCACAUCCGUCUACAGCCUGGGAACAGUUUUAUUCCCCAGGAUGCUCUGGCUUCCACUGCAGCAGGCGGGAGCAUUUACCAUCCCAUAAUAUUCCACCCCCUCCCCUCUCCUCCUCUCACCCAGGCUUCUCCUCAUCCCGCCCCUCAAGCCACAUCUUCAGGACGCCUUUUCGAAUAUGGCUUAGCCCUUGAUCUGAACUCCCUCAGAACCUAUUUCUGUACUGCAGUUUCACAUUUAAUUAGAUCCUGUUGUUUAGAGUCAACUUUAAGUAUAAAUGCACUUUUGGAGUUCCCGUCG
This is a non-coding RNA of Sus scrofa (pig), 1284 nucleotides long. NCBI's taxonomy places the organism in Eukaryota, Metazoa, Chordata, Mammalia, Artiodactyla, Suidae. The record is from RefSeq and is a predicted model, not a curated record.